Molecule: ribosomal RNA, 468 nt
Filed under: Hormius sp.
Lineage: Eukaryota; Metazoa; Arthropoda; Insecta; Hymenoptera; Braconidae
Description: partial 16S ribosomal RNA
Source: RNAcentral
CUGCCCAAUGAAUUAUUUUAAUGGCUGCAGUAUCAGUAACUGUACAAAGGUAGCAUAAUAAUUUGUUUUUUAAUUAAAAACUAGAAUGAAAGAUUUAAUGAAAUAUAAACUGUUUCAAUUUUAAUAAUAAUUAAAUUUAUUAUUUAAGUAAAAAAACUUAAAUAAAAUUAAAAGACAAUAAGACCCUAUAGAAUUUAAUUAAAUUUUUUUUAUUAUAAAUAAAUUUUUAAUAUUUAAUAAUUAAAUUUAAUUUUAUUGGGGUAAUAAAAAAAUCAAAUUAAUUUUUUUAUAAUUAAACAAUAAUUUUUGAAUAUAAUAACUUUAAUAUAAAUUAAUAAAAUUAAUUACCUUAGGGAUAACAGCAUAAUUUUUUUUAAAAGAUCAUAUUAAUAAAAAAGAUUAUGACCUCGAUGUUGAAUUAAGAUAAAAAUAAAAUGAAAAAAUUUUAAAAUUUUAGUCUGUUCGACU